UAAGGAAUAUUGGUCAAUGGACGCAAGUCUGAACCAGCCAUGCCGCGUGGAGGAUGAAGGUCCUCUGGAUUGUAAACUUCUUUUAUUUGGGACGAAAAAGGAUCUUUCUAGAUCAACUGACGGUACCAGAUGAAUAAGCACCGGCUAACUCCGUGCCAGCAGCCGCGGUAAUACGGAGGGUGCAAGCGUUAUCCGGAUUCACUGGGUUUAAAGGGAGCGUAGGUGGGUUGGUAAGUCAGUGGUGAAAUCCCUAAGCUUAACUUGGGAACUGCCAUUGAUACUAUUAAUCUUGAAUACCGUGGAGGUCAGCGGAAUAUGUCAUGUAGCGGUGAAAUGCUUAGAUAUGACAUAGAACACCAAUUGCGAAGGCAGCUGGCUACACGAAUAUUGACACUGAGGCUCGAAAGCGUGGGGAUCAAACAG
This 423-nucleotide ribosomal RNA is filed under the name uncultured bacterium. RNAcentral's name for it is "bacterial SSU rRNA". It matches the Rfam family "Bacterial small subunit ribosomal RNA", at positions 355 to 775 of the family's 1533-position model. The record is from RNAcentral.